AGUGGGGGAUAGCUCGGCGAAAGCCGGAUUAAUACCGCAUAUGCCCUGAGGGGGAAAGGAGGGGAUCCGCAAGGACCUUUCGCUUUCGGAGUGGCCGAUAUCGGAUUAGCUAGUUGGUGGGGUAAAGGCUUACCAAGGCGACGAUCCGUAGCUGGUCUGAGAGGACGACCAGCCACACUGGAACUGAGACACGGUCCAGACUCCUACGGGAGGCAGCAGUGGGGAAUUUUGGACAAUGGGGGCAACCCUGAUCCAGCCAUGCCGCGUGAGUGAAGAAGGCCUUCGGGUUGUAAAGCUCUUUCAGACGGAAAGAAACGGUUACAGCUAAUACCUGUGACUAAUGACGGUACCGUCAGAAGAAGCACCGGCUAACUACGUGCCAGCAGCCGCGGUAAUACGUAGGGUGCGAGCGUUAAUCGGAAUUACUGGGCGUAAAGCGUGCGCAGGCGGUUUUGUAAGACAGACGUGAAAUCCCCGGGCUUAACCUGGGAACUGCGUUUGUGACUGCAAGACUAGAGUGCGGCAGAGGGGGGUAGAAUUCCA
RNAcentral lists this ribosomal RNA (543 nucleotides) under uncultured Gallionellaceae bacterium. RNAcentral describes it as "bacterial SSU rRNA". It matches the Rfam family "Bacterial small subunit ribosomal RNA", at positions 135 to 671 of the family's 1533-position model. Lineage: Bacteria; Pseudomonadati; Pseudomonadota; Betaproteobacteria; Nitrosomonadales; Gallionellaceae. The record is from RNAcentral.